UUUUUUUUUUUAGUAUCAUAGUGAUUCAGACACUGAGCUUUAUCUUAAUCUCCUCUGUCGAGUUUCAUAGCUUGCAACAGUUCCCUUAUUAAGCAGUUUGUUAUGGAAGUUUUUGUGGGUGGGAAUUAUCAACUUCAUACAGUUUUAAGAUGCAUCUUGUUCACUUAUGCAAACAUUGUUUCACUAUGCUGGCCAUUAUUUCAACAACUUAAACUUGAUUAUUUAUUAUCUCUGUGAUAGGAACUCAAAACAUAAGUUGCUUGAUGUCCAAUUACUUAUUCAACCUGAUGUCAAAAUGAACUCUUUCUCUAUGAAUUGACAAAGUUUGCUUACACUAUAGAAUAAUUUCCUCACUGUUUAUUCAGUUUGAAACCUCUUGGAAGCUUAAGUAUAUUUAUGCAUUUAAAAACUAAAUUAAUAAAUUUCUCUGUAGCACAGAGAAGGCUCCCAAUCCAUACAUCUUUUCCAACCUCAGAUUGUGCUGGCAUGCCACAGUCUUCUUUUUGUUAUAAAUGCACCCCUUACUGUCAUACGUGUGGAGAUACUUGAGCAAUGCAUAUGGGUCCGCUGUGUCAGGGAAUCUCGGCUUCCCCUGCCUACCCACUUCACUCUUUGGUCAUGUGGUUUCAAACAAGAAAAUGUUUUCCUUUUACCCAAAUUCUUCACUGAAGCAGUGAUUUUGGCUGGAAGAUGAAAGGAGAAGUGCAUCAGACUGCUGGCUAGCGAGUUGUGUACAAACCUGUACAGUGUUGCAUGAGUCUAAAGGUGCUGCUUAUGAAAUUAAGAUUACUGGUUUAAUGUGUUACUGAAUUGGAACUUGUUUUCAGAACUGCCAGUCUCCAGAAGCUUGGCACUGCAAGAGGCUAUGAUUGUUCGUGCGAUAUAAGGAAGAAAAAUCACUGAAUUGAUAGGGCUGAGGUGCCCUACCCUGUAUUUAUAGCUAUCUGGAUUUAGCUUCUUGACUUAAUACAUUCAGUCUCAGUUUAUAUAUAUAAAAAACAGAUCAUAUGAGACUGAACAUGGUAAGCAUGUGUGUAUGUACAUACAGUACUUAUGUGUGUAUGUACAUACACAUAUAUAUGCUUAAAUGUUUUAGUAUAUAUAGGUGUAAACACACUUGUGGGGAACUUCAAAUAAAUAAGACUGUUAACUGAUUUUUCCCAGCCUGUUCGUUUGAGUAUGCCAGGAUUUCCUUAACUGGCAUCAGAAAGAAAAUCUAUUUUUCAGAAUGGGGUAUACAAGAAUUCUUGUUAACUGAAUGACAAACAAAUAUGAGCUAUCAGGGAAAUUAAAUUGACUUUGAAAUAGUGGAAGAGGAACUGGUGGCUGGAUGUUCUCUGCAUUACUCUUGCAGUAUGCCCGAGGCAGGCAGACGAUGCAUUCCAAAAAUCAGGGUAGUCUAGUUUGUUUGUUGGUUUUUGUUUUAUUUCUUUUUUUUUUUCUCUGCACCAAAAGCAGGAUCUGCUUCGAGUUUUACUGAUCUUUUUGUGCAACAAAAUCAAUUUUCAAUUAAUUUCAGAUUUUUGUUGGGUUUUUUACGCGUCAGGCAAUAUUGAGCUGCUUACAGAUUGUUUCUGUCCUGUCUACAGUGUCAGAUAAUUACACUGCUGGUUGAUUAGGAGAGGAAAUAAAAAGAGAGAGGAGAAGGUUGAUCUGUAGGAUUAUAGUGUUCCUAGUGCCCUUCUGAUCUGUGGUUAUAGUGAAACAUGUAAUUUGUCAUUUUAAAGUGCAAUGAUGAGGUAAACACGUUGGCUUGGUUCUGUGCGUUUGAUUAAAAGAAAAAGUUAUAAUUUGUCCUGCCUCUCAGUGAAGCUGCCCACCAUAGUUGAGAUCUGCAUGAAACUCUCCCCAAAACACAGGAAAGGUAGAAAAUUGCCAUGUAAGGCUCCACCCCUGAUUAGGUGACCCAGGAAUAGGAAUUUCCUAGAGAAUGCAACUUCAAGAUCACAAGGUCAUUAAAUACUUGUCUUUCAUCGACUGAUAAGAUUGUUUUUCUUCACCUGGUUGACUCCUUUGGGGUUUUCUCCAAAAUCUUUAUUUAAAGUAUUUAAAUGACCUCCUAAUCCUGUACUGAAAAUUAAAAAAAAAAAAUAAAUACAUUCCAUGUUGAAAUCUCA
This is a long non-coding RNA of Strigops habroptila (Kakapo), 2117 nucleotides long. Lineage: Eukaryota; Metazoa; Chordata; Aves; Psittaciformes; Psittacidae. The record is from Ensembl.